GACGAACGCUGGCGGCGUGCUUAACACAUGCAAGUCGAACGGAAAGGCCCUGCUUUUGUGGGGUGCUCGAGUGGCGAACGGGUGAGUAACACGUGAGUAACCUGCCCUUGACUGUGGGAUAACUUCAGGGAACUGGGGCUAAUACCGGGUAGGAGCUCCUGCUGCAUGGUGGGGGUUGGAAAGUUUCGGCUUUUGUGUAUGGACUCGCGGCGUAUCAGCUAGUUGGUGGGGUAGUGGCUUACCAAGGCUUUCACGGGUAGCCGGCCUGAGAGGGGGAUCGGCCACACGGGAACUGGGCCACGGUCCAGACUCCUACGGGAGGCCGCAGUAGGGAAUCUGACGCAAUGGGCGGGAGCCUGACGGAGCAACGCCGCGUGAGUGAUGGAGGUCUUCGGAUCGUAAAACUCUGUUAUUAGGGGAGAACAAAUGUGUCAGUAACUAUGCACGGCUUGACGGUACCUAAUCAGAAAGCCACGGCUAACUACGUG
This 488-nucleotide ribosomal RNA is filed under the name uncultured bacterium. Its description in RNAcentral is "partial 16S ribosomal RNA". It matches the Rfam family "Bacterial small subunit ribosomal RNA", at positions 28 to 507 of the family's 1533-position model. The record is from RNAcentral.